GUGAGUAUAGCUCAGUGGUAGAGUGCAUGUUUAGCAUUCAUGAGGUCCUAGGUUCUAUCCCCAGUACUUCCA
Molecule: transfer RNA, 72 nt
Filed under: Camelus bactrianus (Bactrian camel)
Lineage: Eukaryota; Metazoa; Chordata; Mammalia; Artiodactyla; Camelidae
Also listed under: 2 other names
Rfam family: tRNA
About the family: Transfer RNA (tRNA) molecules are approximately 80 nucleotides in length.
Source: Rfam by way of RNAcentral